CGCUAGCUACAGGCUUAACACAUGCAAGUCGAGGGGCAGCAUGGUCUAGCUUGCUAAGAUGAUGGCGACCGGCGCACGGGUGAGUAACGCGUAUCCAACCUUCCCUAUAGUAGGGGGAUAGCCCGUAGAAAUGCGGAUUAAUACCCUAUGUUGUAUUUCGAUGACAUCUGACGAAUACCAAAGGUUCACCGCUAUAGGAUGGGGAUGCGUCUGAUUAGGUAGUCGGCGGGGUAACGGCCCACCGAGCCAACGAUCAGUAGGGGUUCUGAGAGGAAGGUCCCCCACAUUGGAACUGAGACACGGUCCAAACUCCUACGGGAGGCAGCAGUGAGGAAUAUUGGUCAAUGGGCGAGAGCCUGAACCAGCCAAGUAGCGUGCAGGAUGACGGCCCUAUGGGUUGUAAACUGCUUUUAUGCGGGGAUAAAGUGAGGGACGUGUCCCUUAUUGUAGGUACCGCAUGAAUAAGGACCGGCUAAUUCCGUGCCAGCAGCGGC
Molecule: ribosomal RNA, 494 nt
Filed under: uncultured bacterium
Lineage: Bacteria
Description: bacterial SSU rRNA
Rfam family: Bacterial small subunit ribosomal RNA
Source: RNAcentral